This 56-nucleotide ribosomal RNA is filed under the name uncultured bacterium. Its description in RNAcentral is "partial 16S ribosomal RNA". The record is from RNAcentral.
UAGACUUGACAUCCCUGGCAAAGCUAUAGAAAUAUAGUGGAGGUUAACCGGGUGAC